RNAcentral lists this ribosomal RNA (449 nucleotides) under uncultured bacterium. RNAcentral describes it as "partial 16S ribosomal RNA". It matches the Rfam family "Bacterial small subunit ribosomal RNA", at positions 29 to 523 of the family's 1533-position model. The record is from RNAcentral.
AACGAACGCUGGCGGCAGGCCUAAUACAUGCAAGUCGAACGAGAUCUUCGGAUCUAGUGGCGCACGGGUGCGUAACGCGUGGGAAUCUGCCCUUGGGUUCGGAAUAACGUCGGGAAACUGACGCUAAUACCGGAUGAUGACGUAAGUCCAAAGAUUUAUCGCCCAAGGAUGAGCCCGCGUAGGAUUAGCUAGUUGGUAAGGUAAAGGCUUACCAAGGCGACGAUCCUUAGCUGGUCUGAGAGGAUGAUCAGCCACACUGGGACUGAGACACGGCCCAGACUCCUACGGGAGGCAGCAGUAGGGAAUAUUGGACAAUGGGCGCAAGCUUGAUCCAGCAAUGCCGCGUGAGUGAUGAAGGCCUUAGGGUUGUAAAGCUCUUUUACCCGGGAUGAUAAUGACAGUACCGGGAGAAUAAGCCCCGGCUAACUCCGUGCCAGCAGCCGCAGUAA